RNAcentral lists this long non-coding RNA (259 nucleotides) under Homo sapiens (human). Its description in RNAcentral is "non-protein coding lnc-SOHLH2-4:1". The record is from RNAcentral. Lineage: Eukaryota; Metazoa; Chordata; Mammalia; Primates; Hominidae.
CCCAGAUGCAGAGUUCAGAACUAUGAAGUAAGUGUGAAGUGCUCGAUGUGCUGAGAAAGAAAAAGGAAAGGUCUUCAGACUGAUGGAGUGUGACAGGAUCCAGAUGAGCCCUCUUCUUGAGUUGAAUUGCAUCCAUUUCAACAAGCUGUCAUCAAACAGUGGUGCCAGGGAGCUACUAGGAAAUGGGAUGAGGAGAGUCUGGGAUGUCUGUUGGUGCUUCCCAACGAGUGUUAUGGGCCCUCUGUUUUCAGGUGGACCU